RNAcentral lists this ribosomal RNA (846 nucleotides) under uncultured marine group I thaumarchaeote. RNAcentral's name for it is "SSU rRNA". It matches the Rfam family "Archaeal small subunit ribosomal RNA", at positions 12 to 863 of the family's 1478-position model. The record is from RNAcentral. Lineage: Archaea; Thermoproteati; Nitrososphaerota.
UCCCGCCGGACCUGACUGCUAUCGGAUUGAUACUAAGCCAUGCGAGUCUUUGUAGUAAUACAAGGCAGACGGUUCAGUAACACGUAGUCAACCUACCCUAUGGACAAGAAUAAUCUCGGGAAACUGGGCAUAAUUCUUGAUAGAUCAUAAUGCCUGGAGUGGUUUAUGGUUAAAAUGAUUCGUCGCCAUAGGAUGGGACUGCGGCCUAUCAGCUUGUUGGUGAGGUAAUGGCCCACCAAGGCGAUUACAGGUACGGGCUCUGAGAGGAGAAGCCCGGAGAUGGGUACUGAGACACGGACCCAGGCCCUAUGGGGCGCAGCAGGCGAGAAAACUUUGCAAUGUGCGAAAGCACGACAAGGUUAAUCCGAGUGAUUUCUGCUAAAGAAAUCUUUUGCCAGUCAUAAAACCGCUGGUGAAUAAGGGGUGGGCAAGUUCUGGUGUCAGCCGCCGCGGUAAAACCAGCACCUCAAGUGGUCAGGAUGAUUAUUGGGCCUAAAGCAUCCGUAGCCGGCUUUGUUAGUUUUCGGUUAAAUCCAUGUGCUCAACGCAUGGGCUGCCGAAAAUACUGCAUAGCUAGGGAGUGGGAGAGGUAGACGGUACUCAGUAGGAAGGGGUAAAAUCCUUUGAUCUAUUGAUGACCACCUGUGGCGAAGGCGGUCUACCAGAACACGUUCGACGGUGAGGGAUGAAAGCUGGGGGAGCAAACCGGAUUAGAUACCCGGGUAGUCCCAGCUGUAAACGAUGCAGACUCGAUGAUGCAUUGGCAUAAUAGCCAGUGCAGUGUCGCAGGGAAGCCGUUAAGUCUGCCGCCUGGGAAGUACGUACGCAAGUAUGAAACUUAAAGGA